Unclassified non-coding RNA from Callithrix jacchus (white-tufted-ear marmoset), 298 nucleotides. It matches the Rfam family "Metazoan signal recognition particle RNA". From Rfam's summary of the family: The signal recognition particle (SRP) is a universally conserved ribonucleoprotein. It is involved in the co-translational targeting of proteins to membranes. The eukaryotic SRP consists of a 300-nucleotide 7S RNA and six proteins: SRPs 72, 68, 54, 19, 14, and 9. The record is from Ensembl. Lineage: Eukaryota; Metazoa; Chordata; Mammalia; Primates; Cebidae.
GCCUGGUGUGGUGGUGUGUGCCUGUAGUUCCAACUACUCAGGAGACUAAGGCAGGAGGAUCACUGCAUCCAGGAGUUCUACGCUAUAGUGUGCUAUGCCAGUCAGGUGACUGUGCUAAGUUUGGCAUCAGUAUGGUUACCUCUUGGGAGCAGAGGACCACCAGGUUACGUAAGGAGGGGUGAACUGGCUCAGACUGGAAAUAGACCAGAUCAAAUAUCCAUGCUGAUUAGUAAUAGGAGGGUAUCUGUGAAUAACCACUCCAUUCCAGCCUGGGCAACAUAGCAAGACCCUGUGUCUA